Lynx canadensis (Canada lynx) is the source of this 1104-nucleotide non-coding RNA. Lineage: Eukaryota; Metazoa; Chordata; Mammalia; Carnivora; Felidae. The record is from the annotation of a RefSeq genome assembly.
CUCCAGCCCUGAUAGGAAGAUGACUCUCCUUGUGGGCGUUAGCCUUUUGCUUUUCUACCGAGGCGUGCUGUGUGACCAAGUGACCCAGAGCCCCCCGUACCAGACAGUGGCAAGCGGCAGUAAGGUGACACUGUUCUGCACUUACCACACAACAUACUCAAACCCGGAUUUAUACUGGUACCGAAUAAGGCCAGAUCGUUCCUUUCAGUUUAUCCUCUACAGGGAUAACACUCGAUCCAAAGAUGCAGAUUUUACUCAGGGUCGUUUUUGGGUGUGGCACAGUCAGUCCCAGAAAACCUUCCACUUGGUGAUCUCGGUGGAGCCUGAAGACAGUGCCACAUACUACUGCGCCAUCUAUCCCCACAGUGUCGCAGGUGCCCAGGAGGUCUGAACAUAAACCCCCAGCACAGCCUGGUGUAGCUCCCUGGGAUCCUUCUUCCCGGCUAUUUUGUGUUCCAGCCUGGCCUUUGGAGGUGCCCUGACAUGUCUGCUGAAUAAUACAAGGGCAGCUCACAUCCAGGAGAGCACCCUGGCUUCAGAUGGAGCAGAGCACCUCCCUACCUUCUGACUCAGUGGGCCGUUGCGGUGGGAGAGUGGGAGAGGUAUGUCUGGGGAAUUCUCAUCUUCGUGUCCCCAGUGCCCAGGUCACUCACGCCUGAUACGGGGGCCUGUUGCGUAUGUACUCUGAGGACUGUGAAGAUAAACAGAAUGGCCAAGGUACCAUUCGGGAGUGCUUUUAUUUUAGUCUCUAUCAUUUAUCCAUUGUUGUGAAUUGGUCUGUUUUCCUUUUAAGAUUCAAAGUAGACACAAAGUUACUUACUUCAAAAUUUUCCCCCCAGUUCACCUUUUCCCUGCUUCUUCUUGUACAGCCACCUUAUUUUUCUUGAAUGCCCUUUGACACUGCCAUUUCACUUACUUUAUUUGGAGAACAUUUUUCUUCCACGGAGGAGCAUUGAGAUACUCCGAAAAAGCUGUUGGUGAUCCCUAGAACCCCAGCAUCAAGUCCCUGCGUUUGGAGCUCUUUGGUGUCUCCAAGGAAGAUGAUCAUCUCCAGGAGAAUCCAACUGUGUGAUGUCAAAAUAGAUACACCCUGAGCCCUGGGAA